RNAcentral lists this ribosomal RNA (495 nucleotides) under uncultured bacterium. Its description in RNAcentral is "partial 16S ribosomal RNA". It matches the Rfam family "Bacterial small subunit ribosomal RNA", at positions 28 to 507 of the family's 1533-position model. The record is from RNAcentral.
GACGAACGCUGGCGGCGUGCCUAAUACAUGCAAGUAGAACGCUGAAGGAGGAGCUUGCUUCUCUGGAUGAGUUGCGAACGGGUGAGUAACGCGUUGGUAACCUGCCUGGUAGCGGGGGAUAACUAUUGGAAACGAUAGCUAAUACCGCAUAAGAGUAGAUGUUGCAUGACAUUUGCUUAAAAGGUGCAAUUGCAUCACUACCAGAUGGACCUGCGUUGUAUUAGCUAGUUGGUGGGGUAACGGCUCACCAAGGCGACGAUACAUAGCCGACCUGAGAGGGUGAUCGGCCACACUGGGACUGAGACACGGCCCAGACUCCUACGGGAGGCAGCAGUAGGGAAUCUUCGGCAAUGGACGGAAGGCUGACCGAGCAACGCCGCGUGAGUGAAGAAGGUUUUCGGAUCGUAAAGCUCUGUUGUAAGAGAAGAACGAGUGUGAGAGUGGAAAGUUCACACUGUGACGGUAGCUUACCAGAAAGGGACGGCUAACUACGUG